RNA transcript from Scomber scombrus (Atlantic mackerel), 5307 nucleotides. It is a transcript of the gene named dystrobrevin, beta a, with no coding region annotated. The record is from RefSeq and is a predicted model, not a curated record. NCBI's taxonomy places the organism in Eukaryota, Metazoa, Chordata, Actinopteri, Scombriformes, Scombridae. The transcript is spliced from 22 exons.
UUCGGUAGCAGCGGCGGUGGCGGCGGCAGGCGGGUAUGGAGGGUGUGAAACAUGGCUCACCAAGGAAAUAAAUAACGGGACCGGGACCAUAUCAUUUAAGAUAUAAAAAAAUACAAGGUAAAAAGAAAAAGAAAAAGAUAAAAAGAAGAACAGGAAGCGGAUAUUCCAAGAGUGAAGAAAAAACUGUGUUAGAGUUGCAGUCGGUGCCGCACGCUUCAGUGUUGAUGUUGGUAUUUGGCCACGAAUACCUGCCGAAAAUAGUCCCGUGCCCGCUCGCCUGUCUGACGCCUGUCUCUGCGACGGUGUCAUCGCCUCUUCGUCGGUCCCCACUCUCCAGGGUUAAGUCUGUGGAUUCACCUCCAGGACACAGCGCUGAGUCCAGUGUGGAUACAGAAACUACAGGCUUGUAAUCUGGAGCCUGUUUUUAGACGGAAAGCGACUGACUCCUUCGAACAGACGUCCUAUUAUUGAGGCUCCUCUGUCCUGUGUGACCCCCCCCCCCUGCAUAGAGAGGAUGGUGAUGGAGGAGGGGGACCAGAGAGACAGAGGGAGGGGGGAUCCAGCCACAGCAGGGGCAGAGGGAAGGCAAAUCCUGAAUGAGAUCGCGGAGCAGAACCUUGACGCCAUUUGUCGCUCUACAUACCGAACAGCAUGCAAACUCAGAUAUGUACAAAAGAGAUGCAACUUGCAUCUGAUCGACAUUUACAAUGUGAUCGAGGCGGUGCGGGACGCUGGUCUGAACGCUGUCGAGCUGAACGCUGGCAUCUCUGUGACCAGGCUGGAGAACCUGGUGUCCUCCCUGUUCAACCAGCUUAGCAAGCGCAUGCCCACCACACACACCAUCAACCCGCGAGAGAGUACUGUGCUGCUGGUCGGAUUCCUCCUGGCUGCCAUCGACAGUGAACCAGAGAGCCGACUGACGGUGCUCUCGGUCAAGGCGAUGCUGGCCACACUUUGCGGAGGGAAACUUGUAGAUAAACUUCGCUAUGUGUUUUCUCAGGUAUCGGACUCACACGGUGUGUUGGUAUUGUCAAAAUUUGACAAUUUUUUGAGGGAGACUCUCAAGCUGCCCACUGCUCUGCAUGAAGGACCGUCCUUCGGCUACACACACACCUUAGCACGCUCAUGCUUUCCACAACAGAAAAGGGUGAUGCUCAACAUGUUCCUGGACAUCAUAGCUGAACCUCCUCAGUGUCUUGUCUGGCUGCCUCUCAUGCACCGCAUGGCCAAUGUAGAACACGUCUAUCAUCCAGUGACGUGCUCUUACUGUCGUGGCAACGGUAUGACAGGCUUCCGCUAUCGCUGCCUCCGUUGCCGUGGCUACCAGCUCUGCCAGAAUUGCUUCUGGCGCGGCAACGCCAGCGGCUCUCACAGCAACCAGCAUCAGAUGAAGGAGCACUCAUCGUGGAAGUCGCCGGCGACUAAGCUGGGCCGAGCCCUGAGCAGGACUCUGGGCUGCGUAUCGUCCAGGGAGCCCUCCCACCCCGUUUACUCAGAAGAACCUGUGAGGACCCUAAACCUCUCCAACAUAGUCCCCUCUCAACCCAUUGGAAACAGCAGUGAGGCCAUGUUGCUGUCUGCGUCAGUGCCAGAGUCAUCCAAGAGUUUGGCAACGGCUCAGCGUAUGAACGAGGAACACGCUCUGAUCGCUGCCUAUGUGAAUCGCCUCCAGAGCAGCCCGCGCAGCGUGGACAGUCCCAGCAGGCAAGACGAGGAGCACAAACUGAUCGCGCGCUACGCCUCCCGACUGGCAGACACCGACGGUGCAGGAGUGAUUCCUAACCGGAGCAUCAACUUCGAUGUGAACAAACAGAAGAGGGAGCUCAUUGCUCAGCUGGAGUGUAAGAACAGAGAGAUCUUGGCAGAGAUCAAACAUCUCCGAGCAGAACAUGACGCGGCGUGCCAGCCCAGCCCGGAGAAGGGCAGCACCAACCCAACUCUGCUGGCUGAGCUUCGGCUGCUCAGACAGAGGAAAGACGAGCUGGAGCAGAGGAUGUCGUCUCUGCAAGAGAGCAGGAGGGAGCUGAUGGUACAGCUGGAGGGGCUGAUGAAGCUGCUCAAGGCGCAGGCAGCUGGCUCUUCUCACGCCUCUCCUUCUCGGCCGAGCCCGUCAACCGUCCGCUCAGUAGGAACAGCGUCUCCCCAGAUGCACAUGUCUCCCCCUCAAGACUCCCUUGCCGGGGUGGGCGGUGAUGUACAGGAGGCCUUUGCUCAAGGUAAGAGAAAAAUGCCCGAGAAGAAACCUGAGGAACGACCUUCUGGUAGCAGCAGACUCCAUCACCAACACUGUGUCCUCACUGGUCAAAGAGCUUCACUCUGAUGAUGGUCGGGAGGAAGAGGAGAGGUUGCUGAACGGGAAGGACCGAGCAGGUUAAAAUGAUGGCAGAACAAACAAAAACAACAGUGUGAUGUUUCAGUUUCAUCACGGCCAAAGAAGACUGACCCUGCCGGGAUUCAAGCGUAUCUUCUUAUAUUCAUCGUUAGCCAAUUGGGGAUUAGAGCUCCACUUGUCAAUCAACAAAUCACGAUGCUGGACACCAAAAUGACCGCUGGGUCCCUACUGAUGUAUAGCUGUGAUUCUGUGUCUGUCUUGUCACUGUGGUUUUUAACGUUUGUUUUGAUUUGAUCGCGCGUAGCUAAACGAGGAAUCCGAAGCCUACUGAUUUGUACUGUAGCGUGUUCGCAUGUGUGUGUGUGUGUGCUCUGCGUUUUCGAGGUGCGAGAGGGUCGAGCAAGUGAGAGGGACAUCGUAAAGAGACAGAAAGAUUUUUUUUGUUUUUUUUUUAAAGGAAAUUUAAGAAACAGAAAAGUGCAAGAAUGGAGAUACUGGAGGAUGGAGAUAGUGGAUGUGAGAGAGGAAAAAGCGAAGGAAAAACAAAAGAGGGACAGAUGUUAAAAAGAUAAGAAGCGAGUUUUAAUGUUUUAAGUUUCGGCACUGUGUGCUUAGUAUUUAUUGUUUUGCUUUGAUUUGAUUUGUAUUAUUUUUUUGCCAUUUAUUCAUUUGGUUUGAGCGUUUUAUGUGUACGUGAGUGUGGUCAGGCCCUGCUGAGACGAUAAGCUUUAAUGGGACAUUUCCUGCUGUACCAAACCAGCCCCCCCCCACCCCCCUUUCCCACACACCCCAACGCUUUAGGACUCCUUCAAGAUGCAGAAUGGAAAGUCUUCAUCCAAGUCCAGGGGCCUCAUUUAUAAAACAGGAUCUGUACCAAAAGUGCACAUAAAAAAAAACGAAAGUAGCUUUGCGCCAAAUCAUAUUUAUCAAAACUGUGUGUACGCAAGAAUGCAAUCAUGUUUCCAUUCAUGAAUCACAAUCACCUUGAAAAUGUGCGCAUGUGGACGAACCUCACACCCCACCCAUUUUACUCCCACAAUUAACCAUAAAUGGUCAUUGCAAAAGGAUUCAUGAAUAUUGAUAUACGUGUUGUUCCUUUGUUGGAGAACUUUAACAGAGUAAAGUUUGAGAAUAAAGUUCACUGCAGCUAUUUUACACACAAAAACUAUAUGACAAGUAAAAUCAUACCCGGUGAUGCACAGUAUUAUACUAGCUUUAAAUGAGGCCCCUGGUGUCUGAGACCUGGAUGAGAUUAGUGCCAGUAUGAUAGCAGCUCAGGUUGUCCCAGCCUCCGUUUAUCCUGGUACUGCAGUGAGGCUACAGUCAAAGAGGAGAUAUCUGAUUACUGCGGUGUGUGUGUGUGUGUGUGUGUAUGUGAGAAUGAGUGUAUGGAAAAAGUGGAAAUAUAAAACUAUUUUCUUCAACAGUAACGUGUGUUUUGGAGGUAUUUACCCCCUCAAACUCACAUUUAAACAUUUUCUUUUAAAGAGUCAGUUCACCCAAAUUCCAAAAACUCUUUCUAUUUUUCUUGUGAAAUAUUGGAUACUUUUACCUCUUCAGAAUUCUUGACUAUAGCUAUGUCUACAUUCAAGCUGUAACCUGCAAUGUGAUGAAGGGUCUCAAGUGCUUUAUUUUGAGGGGUCACAAGGCAAACCACUUCUGUAGACAUGUCAAGUCAUGCAGAUAGCUUGGAGUUUAUUUGUCCGGAGUUCGUCUCCUAAGGUUUCUGCCUCCACCUCAGUAAUAAGAAGGUGAAUGAUAUUUUUUUGUGGUGCUCACAGGAAUAAAACUAUAAAACAAUAAAUAAAUAAAAAACUUUUUCCAGAAACACUGUCCACCAAUCACACAGUGAACAGUUUUUACUGGAACUACUGUUUAUUGAAGAAAUGGUGCCUAAAAGUCUGUUUGCUUCAUGAUUUGGGUGAACUGAUCAUUUAAUAAUCACCUCAACAGCUUCACUGGUUUUCAUUGGAUGUAGUUGUAUAGGACGAUAAGUUGUAAACAUUUUAUUGUUGUAUCAUAGGAAUUAUAUUCUUUAUCAUCUGCUCGGUAUGGAGAAUAUCUCAUAGUUUUAAUACUACGUUACCCAUGAGCCUCAGCAGUCUAGGUGAAGCCUGCCAGAGAUGUGAAAUAGAGCUGUAGGAAAUUCAAAACGCUCCAUUGUUAUAAUGUAUAUCUACAUUUGGCCCAGAUUUCUUCCAUAAGACAGAAUUAAACUGAAAUGUUCAGCUCUGUGAUUGGAUGUUUGUCACUGCAAUGUUCCCUGGGAGUUGUAGUUGACAUCUUUCUGGCUUUUUAUUAAAGAAUCACACAUUUCAAACCCAUUUUUUAACCAACGAUUCAACCAAGAGUUGAUUCAAGCCUUUAAAGUCUUCCAACUGCCAGUCACCAUAAAAAGUCUAUGCAAAAAAACAAAAAGAAUUAAUUUUACUUUGGGAAUUAGUGUUCUCUGUGUGUAUCGUCAAAUGUAAGCCACCCAAACUUCACCCCAAACAUCUACAGACUGAAAUCUGUGUGCAAAUCAAGCAUGAACCAAAGUGACUUACUGAGCUUGUGAUAAAAUCGUUUUUUUUAAUGAUCAGUCAGCUUUGAGAUAUAUUUUUUAUCAGUAAUGUAUUCAACAUUUUCAGGGUUUUGGUUUGUGCUCAUAGGAAGCUGUACUUUACUGUGUUGUACAUUUCUGAAUCGGACAGUUUUUUUUCACCAGCCCUCCUCUAUGUUUGACUGACUGCUUGCGACUGAGAUUUCCCGUUUUCAGUCAGCGAAUGACUGACUUGCAGUAUGAGUGAUUUAGGAAAUGAGUGAGUCCACAUUUUCAGUGUGUAUGUGUGAAAGAGAGCGAGAGAAAUCAAGACUGACGGGACAGACGCGUCCCGACAUGAAUCUGUAAACACCUUCGGCUCUGAACCAGCCGGAGCUGACGGUGUGACUGUGUUGAUUUGUGUUUUAUCUGCAAUAAAUAAUAUUUAACAUCA